Long non-coding RNA from Acanthopagrus latus (yellowfin seabream), 1755 nucleotides. RefSeq lists it as uncharacterized. Lineage: Eukaryota; Metazoa; Chordata; Actinopteri; Spariformes; Sparidae. The transcript has 3 exons. The record is from RefSeq and is a predicted model, not a curated record.
GAAGUACGCUGAGGUGCGUGUCUGUGCGUCCGUCCCGGUGCGUGUCAGUCGGCAAAGUGUCCGCUGAGGAGCUCCGCUGUGACUUCGCAGGUGCUUCUUGUCUGGUGUUGUUUUGAAUGCUGUGUGAUGAAGCCAGAAAAUGACUCAUCACAACCCACAAACUCUUUCUACAAGGGCUCAGAUUCUCCACCUUCAUCUCUCCUCCGCUGCCUCUUGUGUGUUCGUGCAUGUGGGCGUGACUGCGGGGGAGUGCACGUGCCAGCUUGUGGCUCACAUUCAUGAUCCUGGUCGUGCUUUAGGAAAGAUGACACGGACAUGCUUUUGUCUUCGUGCCACCGGAAUGAACUGACAGGGGAGAAGAAGAAUGAACGCAGGAUGCAGGUUGGAGUAAAAAGAAAAAUGCCUGUGACUGUCAGGAGGAAAAGAUGGAAAACAGAAAAUGGAAUGAACAUUAUUUCAGUUUUAGUUAUACUCUGGAUAAACACCUGACUGUGAACUAAUGUAGGGCAGAGCUAAUGAGCUGUUGUCCAAGAAAUUACCUUCAAAGUUAAAUAAAAAAUAUUUUACGCUCUUUUUGAAGGAAUACGUCAACAUUUUGGGGAAACACUAGAACACACUGUAAGAUGUCUUUUUGGGAGUUGGAGGAAAAGAUUGUUACCACUUUCCUGUUUGUGAGUUAAGAAUAAAGCUGGUGCUGGGAGGUGAUUAGCCUAGCUUAGCAUAAAGAUAAGGUGAAAGCGCUAAUCUGGCUCUAACUAAUGUGCAAAAAUACCCCUUUGAAUAUAUUACCGCCGCCAAGGAGGUUGUGUUUUCAUCCUUCUGCAUUUGUUGGUUGGCUGGUUUGUCAGCAGGAUUAAACAAAAAACUGCUGAACAGAUAUUCUACAAACUUUAAAGGAGGAUGGGUCUCAGCCCAGAGCCCAUUAAAUUUUGUUGCGGAUCCUGAAAAAGACACAUUUUUUCUCACUUUGUUUUGCUAGUUUUUCCCCUCAAUCAAUCUUUUUUUCUUCCUCUUCUUACUUCAAGUAUUGCGUGAUUGGAAUUCCACUCAGACACAGGUAAGCUGAACCCACCCAGUUCUAGUUUCACCCGAAAACAUUUAAGGAAUGAACACCGCAGCUAUUUUUUUUUUUUUUGUUUUUCAUCUAGAUGUUUGUUAAAUGUGGAUGAAGAAGAAUGACAUUCAGAUAAAAGACCAGAUGAUGCUGAGCUAGAUGUUGAGAACUAAACGGUGCCAGAGGAAGAAUUACUGAGAGCCAUAACGCCAUAACACACUGAAUCUUCCUGUUCACGCCAUCUCGCUGCUCUGAAUACCUAAGAUGCUGUGUGUGUGUGUGUGUGUGUGUGUGUGUGUGUGUGUGUGUGUGUGUGUGUGUGUGUGUGUGUGUGUGUGUGUAAAUGUAGUCCCUUGCUGACACAGCACUUCUUCAGGAACUUGGGAUUGUGUGUGUGUGCGUACGUAUGUGUGUGCCCUGGCCUCUGCUCCCUGCAGAUAUGCUUCCUUUCAGAGAGACUGUAGAAAUAAGCAGCGAGGACCUUAGACUGUGUGUGUGUGUGUGUGUGUGUGUGUGUGUGUGUGUGUGUGUGUGUGUGUGUGUGUGUGUGUGUGUGUGAGUGUGAGAGAGAGAGAGUUGAAUUUCUUUAGAAAGACUUUUCAGCCCCAUCAAGCAUCUCUGGUACACUGAAAACGAUGUAUUUCUCCAACUUGUGAUGACAUUUAAAGUGGAAUUAUUUGACGUGAAGCGUCUCUUGUAAA